AAUACUAUAAAAUAUCAUUAACAAUAAUAUAGUAAAAAGGAACAUAAUAAAUUAGUAAAACAUAAAAAGUGGUUAAUAACAAUGUAUAAUAUAUGAUAAAAAGCAGAAUAAUAAAAUAAUGACUAUCCAAGAACAUUUAACACGGGAGACGGACGCUGCCAACGUCUAGCUAUGCAUGUACUCAUUUAUGUAUGUAACUAAAGGAUGUCAAUCAGAAAUCUAGCGUAUUAUAAAGAACUUUCCCCGAUGACUUGCAAAACUCGGAAUACGAAAAUAAAUUCUUUAUACAGGCGGCGAUAACAUUCAAAUAAUGUCAUAUUAUUUAAAUCAUGUUUGUUUUUUUGGACUGUAACAUCUGUAUAAUGUCAAAGGUUGCAAAUGAAUCGACCAAUUUGUUUACCUUCACUGUUAUAAAGCGGUAGAAUGUUUAGUUCAAGUAAUUAUAUGCCAUAUUAGGUAUCUCUAAUGUCCAAUAUUCUAAUGUAUAUAAGUAUAUAAAAGCAUAAAUGCAGUCAAUUAAAUCAGAGAGCAGGGCGAUAACCGAACUAUAAAUAGAUAAACGUACUCGAGUUAGAUAUGAAUGCGUGUUUUAAUGAUAAGAGGAAAGCAAAUAGGCAACGGUUUGACGGGGACAGUCCGAUUGGCUCGGCGCGAGCCGCGACCCGUGGCCUGGAGCAGCACGUAGCACGGACUCGCUUACGUAAACAUAACUGAAUACAAUAUAUACAAUUAAACCACAAUAAACCGCUAGUGAAGCCGCUGCACCGCCAGCUAAACUGUUAUGAUUAAUAUUAACUCUCUACGUAUCCACAUCACUUCAAUCCAGUAGUGUGGCGCAAUGACUAAGCCCUGCGAGGCGGCGCCACGUCGCCGGCUGCCGUCGGCUACGCUCCGCCGCUAAGCUGUUCCCAUCUUUAAUAAUUUCCAAACAAUACAUACAAUAUUAUAUAUAAAUUUAUAUAAUAUAUAAAUCGUAUGUCAUUACAUAUUUAUUGAGCAAAUAACAAGUGAAUUCUGAGCGGAGAGAUCAGCGCGUCCGACUCGCAGCCCGCGUACCACACGAUGACAAUAAUAACAGACUUUUCCGGUUAAGAUUGCACCAGGAAGUUACAACUGAGUGUGUGCUGUGUGGCGGAGUGCUGUUAAGUAAUUGUCACCGCUUGGGAGCGACGGUACACGACAAGAGACUAUCGGCGUCACAGUAUACGUAAUUAUUUAUUAACGCUUCUUUGCAUGAUUUUUUUUAUUGGUGAAAUAAAUCAAGGUGAUAUAAUUCAUGUUCAAAAUGAAACGAAAAAUGGUUAAAAAAAUAAAUUUGACAGCUAUGUUUUUUUUUUAUACAAUGGACAUUAAAAAGACAUCCAAACACGAUCUACUUAAAGUGAACAUGUUCUUUUAUAUAAUUUUUGGGCAUUCAAUGUUAUGAUGGAAAUUUCCACCGUUAUGCAAAGAAGGUUUAAAAAGUCUGUUAAGGCCACGUCUUUGAUUGUUGGCCGCUGUGUCCAGCACGCUUCAAAUGGCCACUUAAACAAUAUUAUGUCAAUAGAUACCUACUGUAACAUUUGACGAGGGGGAAAAGGGAUUGUUAGUAAUGGGGAUUAGCACCCCUAUUACUAGCAAUAUACCCUGUCAGGUCGACCUCCUCGCGGUUCCUCCUGGAAACCAUUGAUAUAUUGACGAAUUUGUUACGAUGGGCUAACUGACCGGCUUCACCCUCACCUAUCACCCCUCACUGGUGCCCCGUCAACGUAUACUGAUAGCGCAGGCGGGGUUAUCAUUUCAUUAUCAUCCAUUAAAAAAAAAAAACAUUUGUCGAAUAAUUGCACGUUUUUUUUUAUACUACUUAGAAUGGCAAACAAGCUGACGGCCCACCUGAUGGAAAGUGAUAACCGUCGCCUAUACACAUGAGCAGUACCAUUGAAUUUCAUUGAACAUUCAGCUUCUUUAUUUCCUAGUGCAAUCUCAACGGUAACAUAUCAUAGACAACUAGGAAUGAUACAAUAGGAAUGAGUUUACAGUAUAUAGUGGCAGUCACCAGUCACAGUGGCGUGUCUGCCGCGACAUUUGUCAAGUUUGCAUUAAUAUUCCAUAUAAAUCGUCAUUAAAAGUAUCAAAACCUUAACCCGCUACCUACCUGCUAGUCAGUCGAGUUCGUCACUCAGUCCCACAUAUAUCCAAUACAGGGGGAAACGCGUUCCCGACCACUCCACCCUUCCUAUGCAAGGGUUCUCAAAGUUUAGCCUAUCGGGCCCCUGAUAAAAAAAAAGCCUUAAAACAAAGCAUUUCAUGCCCUCCUCGUCACAAUUAAUAUUUUCGAGUAUUACAUACUCAGUCAAUUAAAAAUAUAUAAAUAUAUUAAUUUAUUUGCACUAAUAAAUUAUAUAAACGUUUUUAUCUUAAUUUUAGAGCCAUCCGAUUGACUUUUACAGUCAACAAUUUCAUAAUAGAUGUAAUAAAAAUAUAUUACGUGGUCACAUGAUCAAAUAUAAGAGUUACGUUGCUGUUAUGUCAAUCUGGGGCGUACGCAGACAAACGGGGCGCGCGGGUCAAUGGCCCCGCCACUUUGAAAACCCCUGUUCCGAUGUGAGUGGACAGUAGUUGAGCAUUGUUUCAUUACAGCACUUAACAUGUCUAAAUAUACGUUUACAUGGCAGUGAGCACGAGGAGCGACUACCGUAAUCUAAACAGGUUCACAAGUACGCUCCGGCCUAAUACAUACAUACAUACGGUAAUACGGCAGGCUAUCAAAAAUACAUCUGGUCGUGUAAAUGCUUUCGAAAAUGUAGAGUUUCACUUGAAAAUUGCGGCUUCAGCGGUGCGGAGAGGGCGAGACCUGCAACACAUACAUUCAUUGUUCAAGUAUGUAUUAAACAUUGACAUCGAUAUAAAAAUAGUCUUAGACACACCACAAAGGAGUACAAAAAAAAAUAUGCAGUCUUGAUCAUCAUAUUAUCAUAUUAGCCAUUGCUGAAUGUCUGAUUGUCACUGCCCACUGCUAAACAUAGAAGGAGACCUAUGUUCAGCAUAAGGGAGGGUUUGCCAGUGGUUACCACGCUUGGCAGGCUUGGUUUGCGUCCCUCUAAAACAUCUCCAAAGCCUAACUGCGGUUGUCAAUCCGUCUGUCAAGCGUGAUUUUUUUUAUACUACUUAGAUUGGCAAACAAGCUGACGGCCCACCUGAUGAAAAGUGGUUAUCGUCGCCUAUAGACAUGAGCAGUACCAUGGACAUAACAGAGUAUACAGUUUCGAUAACGUGAUAUUCGCGUGAUAACAAUUGGCAAAACUUUCUAAGGGGGAAGCUUAUGUUUAGCACUGGAUAGUUUUUUUAAUAGUUCAUAAUGGUAUGGUAGCCCCGCUUGCGCUAUCGGUAUACGCUGGCGGGGCACCAGUGACAGAUGACAGAUGAGGAUGAAAGCAGGUCAGGUAGCCCAUCUUGACGCAUUCAACUAGAAUUAACCACGAUGGUUUCCAGGGGAAACCACGUGGAGGUCGACCUAACAGGAUAUAUUGCUAGUAAUGGGACUAUUUGACUUCAUUAAAUUAUCAUUGAUAUUCGGGUUAAAUAGUUUUAUUAUAAUUUUGUAUGUUAGCACACUAGGUUUAUAACAUUGAUUUGGCUUUUGCUGUCAUAAUGUUGUAAUUAUUUGUAAUGUAUAAAUAAA
Molecule: long non-coding RNA, 3661 nt
Organism: Galleria mellonella (greater wax moth)
Lineage: Eukaryota; Metazoa; Arthropoda; Insecta; Lepidoptera; Pyralidae
Exons: 3
Source: RefSeq, a predicted model, not a curated record